AUACGGAGGGUGCAAGCGUUACUCGGAAUCACUGGGCGUAAAGCGCGCGCAGGCGGCUAUUUAAGUUGGAUGUGAAAGCCUAUGGCUCAACCAUAGAACUGCAUCCAAAACUAUUUAGCUAGAGUGUGGGAGAGGAAGAUGGAAUUAGUUGUGUAGGGGUAAAAUCCGUAGAGAUAACUAGGAAUACCAAAAGCGAAGGCAAUCUUCUGGAACACUACUGACGCCGAGGCGCGAAAGCGUGGGGAGCAAACAGGAUUAGAAACCCUUGUAGUCC
Molecule: ribosomal RNA, 274 nt
Filed under: uncultured bacterium
Lineage: Bacteria
Description: partial 16S ribosomal RNA
Rfam family: Bacterial small subunit ribosomal RNA
Source: RNAcentral